ACCUGACUGGCUCAGUCAGCAGAGCAUCUGACUCUUAAUCUUGGGGUCAUGAGUUCAAGUCCCAUGGUGGGCG
Molecule: transfer RNA, 73 nt
Filed under: Felis catus (domestic cat)
Lineage: Eukaryota; Metazoa; Chordata; Mammalia; Carnivora; Felidae
Rfam family: tRNA
About the family: Transfer RNA (tRNA) molecules are approximately 80 nucleotides in length.
Source: Rfam by way of RNAcentral